Molecule: long non-coding RNA, 1046 nt
Organism: Rosa chinensis
Lineage: Eukaryota; Viridiplantae; Streptophyta; Magnoliopsida; Rosales; Rosaceae
Exons: 3
Source: RefSeq, a predicted model, not a curated record
CGUACUCUCUCUCUCUCUCUAGCCAAAAGAUUUUCACGCUUUCUCUCAGUCUCUCUCUCUCUCUCUCUCUCUCUCUCUCUCUCUCUAUGUUUAUUAGAUUUCAAGCCACAAAGCAAAACUUUUGAAAAUGUGAGUGAGAUUAUACACGAUCUCUAAGUUGGCAUAUAACUUUUGGGUUGAGAAUCUAAUGAACAUUUAUCAUAUUGUUUGAAGUUUAGUGCGCUAUUGAUGGAAAAUCAACCAAGUACCUGAAGGUAUUUUCGAAUUGAUGGAAAGCCACCCACCUACAAAGAUGAUCGUCUCACAUUAGAGAUUCACCACGACAGUAGAUUUUUUAGGUUGGGCAGUGGCAGUCGACAUUAUCAGAGAGGAGAAUUGGUUUGGAUUGAUGGAAAUGAUCCAGACACCACAUCAUGGCCAUGCAAAUGAAAAAGGUUCUCAAAAUGUUCAGCAAGAUGGCAAUGCAAAUGAUAAACAUAGAAUGCAGUUGCUCAGCAAUGUGGCAAUUCAAAUGGACAUAGUUAUGAAAAUGUUCAUGAUGAGGUGCAUCAUAAGAUUCUGUCUCAACAAUCACUUGUGGAAGCACCUUUUGUUUCAUCACAACCACUUCCAUCACCUCUAAAUUUCUCACAAGAAAUUCCUCUAGUUCAAAGAAGUUCUCAACAUAUUAGAUCAUUAUCAGCUUCCUUCUCCAUCAUUUACACUGAUCCUCUAACUGGGAGGCCAAAGAAACAAGUUGCAUUCAGAAAUCCUAAGAAUUCUAUGUCAACUGAGAAUGCAAGCAAGCCUAUUUGGAGACCUUAAAAGUGUUGUGUGUGUGUGUGUGUUUUUUUUUCUUUCUAAAAUCUUCAGGUUCUUUGAUCUAAAUAGGGCAUUUUGUGAUAACUCUUUGAACAAUUAGGAUUGAAUAUUUUCUGAAAAUUUGAUAGGUCAUUUUGGAACAGUAAUGGUUUAUGUUAGUAUGGAAUGCUUAUGUAAUUUGUAGUUGGGAUAUGUAGUUUUGAACUAUGUUAGCUUUACCGUUAUUCUAAGCAUUUACAUGACUA